This 513-nucleotide ribosomal RNA is filed under the name uncultured bacterium. RNAcentral's name for it is "partial 16S ribosomal RNA". It matches the Rfam family "Bacterial small subunit ribosomal RNA", at positions 28 to 523 of the family's 1533-position model. The record is from RNAcentral.
GAUGAACGCUGGCGGCGUGCCUAAUACAUGCAAGUCGAACGCGCAGCGAAAGGUGCUUGCACCUUUCAAGCGAGUGGCGAACGGGUGAGUAACACGUGGAUAACCUGCCUCAAGGCUGGGGAUAACAUUUGGAAACAGAUGCUAAUACCGAAUAAAACUUAGUAUCGCAUGAUACAACGUUAAAAGGCGCUACGGCGUCACCUAGAGAUGGAUCCGCGGUGCAUUAGGUAGUUGGUGGGGUAAAGGAUUACCAAGACGAUGAUGCAUAGCCGGGUUGAGAGACUGGUCGGCCGCAUUCGGACAGAGACACAGACCCAACGCCUAAGGGGGGCUGCAGUAGGGGAUCUUCCACACUGGGCGCAAGCCUGAUGGGGCAACGCCGCGUGUGUGAUGAAGGCUUUCAGGUCGUAAAGCACUGUUGUAUGGGAAGAAAUGCUAAAAUAGGGAAUGAUUUUAGUUUGACGGUACCAUACCAGAAAGGGACGGCUAAAUACGUGCCAGCAGCCGCGGUAA